RNAcentral lists this ribosomal RNA (390 nucleotides) under Triticum aestivum (bread wheat). RNAcentral describes it as "partial small subunit ribosomal RNA". The record is from RNAcentral. Lineage: Eukaryota; Viridiplantae; Streptophyta; Magnoliopsida; Poales; Poaceae.
UACUCGAUAGUUCAGUGUGCCAUGCUUUACGGCUUAGAAUCGGGACUUCAACGACGUUUUGAACGUCAUGGAGCAUAUGAGAUGUUCCAGGAGUUGAAGUUAAUAUUUCAAGCAAAUGCCCGAAUUGAGAGAUAUGAAGUCUCCAAUAAGUUCUAUAGCUGCAAGAUGGAGGAGAACAGUUCUGUCAGUGAGCAUAUACUCAAAAUGUCUGGGUAUAAUAAUCACUUGAUUCAAUUGGGAGUUAAUCUUCCGGAUGAUUGCGUCAUUGACAGAAUUCUCCAAUCACUGCCACCAAGCUACAAGAGCUUCGUGAUGAACUAUAAUAUGCAAGGGAUGAACAAGACAAUUCCCGAGCUCUUCGCAAUGCUGAAAGCUGCGGAGGUAGAAAUC